GAUGAACGCUAGCGGCAGGCUUAACACAUGCAAGUCGAGGGGUAGAGUUCUUCGGAACUUGAGACCGGCGCACGGGUGCGUAACGCGUAUGCAAUCUACCUUUUACAGAGGGAUAGCCCAGAGAAAUUUGGAUUAAUACCUCAUAGUAUAGUACAACCGCAUGGUUGAACUAUUAAAGUCACAACGGUAAAAGAUGAGCAUGCGUCCCAUUAGCUAGUUGGUAAGGUAACGGCUUACCAAGGCUACGAUGGGUAGGGGUCCUGAGAGGGAGAUCCCCCACACUGGUACUGAGACACGGACCAGACUCCUACGGGAGGCAGCAGUGAGGAAUAUUGGACAAUGGGCGCAAGCCUGAUCCAGCCAUGCCGCGUGCAGGAUGACGGUCCUAUGGAUUGUAAACUGCUUUUAUACGAGAAGAAACACUCCGACGUGUCGGAGCUUGACGGUAUCGUAAGAAUAAGGAUCGGCUAACUCCGUGCCAGCAGCCGCGGUAAUACGGAGGAUCCAAGCGUUAUCCGGAAUCAUUGGGUUUAAAGGGUCCGUAGGCGGUUUAAUAAGUCAGUGGUGAAAGCCCAUCGCUCAACGGUGGAACGGCCAUUGAUACUGUUAAACUUGAAUUAUUAGGAAGUAACUAGAAUAUGUAGUGUAGCGGUGAAAUGCUUAGAGAUUACAUGGAAUACCAAUUGCGAAGGCAGGUUACUACUAAUGGAUUGACGCUGAUG
RNAcentral lists this ribosomal RNA (722 nucleotides) under uncultured bacterium. RNAcentral describes it as "bacterial SSU rRNA". It matches the Rfam family "Bacterial small subunit ribosomal RNA", at positions 28 to 751 of the family's 1533-position model. The record is from RNAcentral.